UAAGGAAUAUUGGUCAAUGGACGCAAGUCUGACGGAGCGACGCCGCGUGAGCGAAGAAGGUCUUCGGAUCGUAAAGCUCUGUUGUUAGGGAAGAAGAAGCGCCGUUCGAACAGGGCGGCGCGGUGACGGUACCUAACGAGAAAGCCCCGGCUAACUACGUGCCAGCAGCCGCGGUAAUACGUAGGGGGCGAGCGUUGUCCGGAAUUAUUGGGCGUAAAGCGCGCGUAGGCGGCUUUGCAAGUCGGGUGUGAAAUCCCCGGGCUUAACCUGGGAACUGCAUUCGAGACUGCAUUGCUAGAGUAUGGGAGAGGGAAGUGGAAUUUCCGGUGUAGCGGUGAAAUGCGUAGAUAUCGGAAGGAACAUCAGUGGCGAAAGCGACUCCUGGACCAAUACUGACGCUCAUGUGCGAAAGCGUGGGGAGCAAACAGGAUUAGAUACCC
RNAcentral lists this ribosomal RNA (440 nucleotides) under uncultured bacterium. RNAcentral's name for it is "bacterial SSU rRNA". It matches the Rfam family "Bacterial small subunit ribosomal RNA", at positions 355 to 787 of the family's 1533-position model. The record is from RNAcentral.